Alistipes sp. CAG:831 is the source of this 37-nucleotide small RNA. It matches the Rfam family "abiF RNA". The record is from Rfam. NCBI's taxonomy places the organism in Bacteria, Pseudomonadati, Bacteroidota, Bacteroidia, Bacteroidales, Rikenellaceae.
UCCCCCAAGCCUCUCAACGAUGCUCAAACCGGGGGGC